UGAUUUUAGGUUUUAAACUCAAAUUCGCGACUAUGGUUAUUUUUAAUUGUGAAUUCUAACUUUAAAAUUUGAAUUCACAACCUAUAUCCGAGUUGUGAAUUCAUCGUGAAAUUGAGAACAGUAGCAAUACACACUCGAUUAAAUCACAUUUUAUUACAAAAAUAAAGUUAUAUUUAAAGUUAUACAAAAAUCACCUAGCUUGCUUAUACCAACACUCAAAUUUCAGAUUUCUUCGCUGAGACAUUCUGUCGAACUGUUGGCGGACAUUCUUAUUCUUCCAUUUGCACUGCCGCAGCCAACGCCGCUCCCGCCACAAACGGCGGCGGAGGUGGACGCCACAAGUAUGCAGCCGAGGGUGGAGGAGAGAGAGAAAAUAAAAGUGAGAAGAAUCAAAGAUAUGUCGCCCUUUAGCAACCAAAAAAAAAAAACUCCAUUGUUAACCUAAUAUUUUCAAUUCAACUAACGUAAUUCAUCAUAUUCAAAUGUUCAGUUCACAUUUAAACCAAUCAAACCAGUAAGUCGAGGAUUAGCACUGAUGGAUAAAUGUUCAGUUCAAAAAUGGUGAAUUAAUUCAUCAUUUCCCAAAAAUCAAGAAACUCAUUUCAAACUUGUAUUUUGCAUUGACUAGUAAAUAAAGUAGAUAAGUUAAGAAAAGCUUCGUCUCAUUUUCCAAUGGGAAAACAAAAACGCCGCAAAUAGUGUCUGUUGCUUUCGCCUCAGAAUUCAAUAUUGUUAGAAAUGGAUAUUGGGUCCAUUUCUCUCUUAAAAGGCCUUAUAAGGGAGAAUGAUACGCCAAGCCCAUCCCCUAGCUUGGCCCUAUUAUGAUCUAGCCCAUUAGCCCAUUAGGUUUUUAUUAUUAGGUAUAAAUAAUGUAAUCUCUAAGUUUAUUGGAUAUGAAAUGAAUAUGUUGGUUGUUUUGUCAAAUCUCUCCCUUCUCUCUUGAUUUAUGGAGUUUGAGNAUAAUUAAAUAGAUCAUUUUAACGUUUAGCAAAGCUCAAACUAAUUUUAAAAGUUCAAAUUAAUGUUUAAAGCCCAUUAUUUAAUUCUAUGAAUUAUUUUAAAAGCCCUAUAGGCAAAUUCUAUUUCUCUCUCUCUCUACUCUUUCACCUUCUCCAUUUUCAUUCUCUUCUUGUGUGGGUGCAGCGAGUCCACGUAAAUAUUACUUUAAAAAAAUCGAAGUGCAUCACCGUUGAUACGGAUCCGUAUCAAUGGUGGAGCAAUUCGAGUCGCUCAAACUCCAUAAAUCAAGAGAGAAGAGAGAGAUUUGACAAAACCAAAAUAUUCAUUUCAUAUCCAAUAAACUUAGAGAUUACAUUAUUUAUACCUAAUAAUAAAAACCUAAUGGGCUAAUGGGCUAGAUCAUAAUAGGGCCAAGCUAGGGGAUGGGCUUGGCGUAUCAUUCCCCACCCCUUCACAAUCACCUUGUCCUCAAGGUGAAGCUACAAAAAAUGGUGAUGGGAGUACAAGAUUCGGCCCACUAAUUGCAAAAACAAAACUAAAUAGUGCCGAAAUAACAACUGCCCGACAACUUCUUGAUAAAAGCUACGACUGAAAAUCAACUAAGAAGCUUGAUAAACUACGCCCACCAUAUGCUCGACAAAAGCUCCGGCUAAAAACUGAUGCGGAUCAGCUAGGCAUGCCCACGAGAUCCGGCGGCGGUUCGCCACAUAGCUGGACUUCUUGACCAAGUCCACGAUCCUUCUCCUUGACAUCGACGGCGUGAUGUGGCGCGGACAAUAGCAGAGACAAGCCUUGAGGCCGUGGAAGAACCCCAAUUUUAUAAUCUCGGAGAAAGCAACGGAGACGGGCCUGGGCACUUGGGCCGUGGGCAGCCACAAUCAAAGCUUUAGGGCCACUCAUAUUGGGCCCAAAUAUAUUGAUUGGGUUGGGCUCUUCAUUCUUAGACUUGGGCCCAAUCGAAAUCUGAAACAACUGAUUCAACGUCUCAUGAGAAACCCUGACUCGCCACAGAUUAAUUGAAGUUAUCGGUAACCAUGUUAAAAAUUGAUAUUGAGUCAAUUCCUCCCUUAAAAGGCCUUAGAAGGGAGAGGGUUGCCUCAUCAUAUAAAGUGGCUCAUGCCACUAUCUCCAAUUCAACGUGGGACACUUCAAUAUAUUGACUAUAUCACGCA
This 2132-nucleotide long non-coding RNA is filed under the name Salvia miltiorrhiza (redroot sage). Its description in RNAcentral is "long non-coding RNA (SMIL_LNC010865)". Lineage: Eukaryota; Viridiplantae; Streptophyta; Magnoliopsida; Lamiales; Lamiaceae. The record is from RNAcentral.